AGUUAAUUAGUUUAAAGAUAAAACUUAUAUUUUGAAAAUAUAAAACAGAGUAAUUUAUUAACUU
This 64-nucleotide transfer RNA is filed under the name Gargara sp. 16071360. Its description in RNAcentral is "tRNA-Ser". Lineage: Eukaryota; Metazoa; Arthropoda; Insecta; Hemiptera; Membracidae. The record is from RNAcentral.